AAUGCCUAGGAAUCUGCCUGGUAGUGGGGGAUAACGUUCGGAACCGGACGCUAAUACCGCAUACGUCCUACGGGAGAAAGCAGGGGACCUUCGGGCCUUGCGCUAUCAGAUGAGCCUAGGUCGGAUUAGCUAGUUGGUGAGGUAAUGGCUCACCAAGGCGACGAUCCGUAACUGGUCUGAGAGGAUGAUCAGUCACACUGGAACUGAGACACGGUCCAGACUCCUACGGGAGGCAGCAGUGGGGAAUAUUGGACAAUGGGCGAAAGCCUGAUCCAGCCAUGCCGCGUGUGUGAAGAAGGUCUUCGGAUUGUAAAGCACUUUAAGUUGGGAGGAAGGGUUGUAGAUUAAUACUCUGCAAUUUUGACGUUACCGACAGAAUAAGCACCGGCUAACUCUGUGCAGCAGCCGCGGUAAUACAGAGGGUGCAAGCGUUAAUCGGAAUUACUGGGCGUAAAGCGCGCGUAGGUGGUUUGUUAAGUUGGAUGUGAAAUCCCCGGGCUCAACCUGGGAACUGCAUUCAAAACUGACUGACUAGAGUAUGGUAGAGGGUGGUGGAAUUUCCUGUGUAGCGGUGAAAUGCGUAGAUAUAGGAAGG
This 595-nucleotide ribosomal RNA is filed under the name uncultured bacterium. RNAcentral's name for it is "bacterial SSU rRNA". It matches the Rfam family "Bacterial small subunit ribosomal RNA", at positions 112 to 704 of the family's 1533-position model. The record is from RNAcentral.